RNAcentral lists this ribosomal RNA (405 nucleotides) under uncultured prokaryote. RNAcentral describes it as "bacterial SSU rRNA". It matches the Rfam family "Bacterial small subunit ribosomal RNA", at positions 355 to 774 of the family's 1533-position model. The record is from RNAcentral.
UGGGGAAUAUUGGGCAAUGGGCGAAAGCCUGACCCAGCAACGCCGCGUGAGGGAAGAAGGUCUUCGGAUUGUAAACCUCUGUCCUUGGGGACGAAAAAAAUGACGGUACCCAAGGAGGAAGCCCCGGCUAACUACGUGCCAGCAGCCGCGGUAAUACGUAGGGGGCGAGCGUUGUCCGGAAUUACUGGGCGUAAAGGGUGCGUAGGUGGCCUUUUAAGUUGGAUGUGAAAUACCCGGGCUUAACUUGGGGGGUGCAUCUAAUACUGGAGGGCUAGAGUGCAGGAGAGGGAAGCGGAAUUCCUAGUGUAGCGGUGAAAUGCGUAGAUAUUAGGAGGAACACCAGUGGCGAAGGCGGCUUUCUGGACUGUAACUGACACUGAGGCACGAAAGCGUGGGGAGCAAACA